Non-coding RNA from Caretta caretta (loggerhead turtle), 6817 nucleotides. NCBI's taxonomy places the organism in Eukaryota, Metazoa, Chordata, Testudines, Cheloniidae. The record is from RefSeq and is a predicted model, not a curated record.
ACUUCAGGUUACCCACAAUUCCCUAAUUUUAAAAUAAAUGUAGCUCUGUAUUUGUAUACAAUGGAUAGAAAUGAACAUGUCUAAUAAAAGCAGUUCAGUCAUUUUUAUUUUAAUGCACUUUCUGUUUUUACUGGCAAAGUUGGGCAUGUAGAUCUGUUUAAACUAUGAAAUUUUCUUUACACUUUGGCAAGGCUGGCUUAGAUGAUUUCUACUGCAACUCUUAAAACAUGUUCUCUCAAGGAGCACUGUGAUCCAUUGGUCUUGGAGGCAAUGGAUACCAUUUGAUAAUGUCAGACUGCUACAACUAUGCUCUGGAUAAUCUAUUUAAAACAAAGCAGACUAUCAUAUAAAAAUGGUGGGGCCCAUACUUGCUGGAAUUCUGUGCAAAGGGGCUUUUAAAACUUAACCAAAAUCUUUUCCUGGGUGCAUAGCUUGAGACAAUGGGGAGGGGUCAGAAAGAUGGAAUCCUCCCAACAAAUUCAGUUAUAAUUAUGCUUGGAGGUCUGCCUCUGGGGAGAAAUGGGAUGUGAAAAUGUUUUGUCCUGUUGAAGGAACGUCACACUUAAAGCAAACAUAAAUUUUGCAUUUUUGCUUUAACAAACCAAAAUGUUUUUUCUUUUGGAAACUCAAAUAUAGUAUAUGGUGGUAACAUCAUUUCUACCACUUAAAAUACAGAAAACUGCAGUGGUUUGGGUCAUUUGUUUAAUACAAAUACAAAUUUGUUCUACAACAAUUAGAAGUUAUAUUAAUUUUGUUUCCCUUUAAAACCCGCCCUCCCCCUUCUUUCAGUACAUAUUCACUCACAAAAACCAACCGUUUUUGGAAAAGAGAAUGGGGUUAAAGAAGUAACAACUCUUAGUUCCAGGUAUUACACAGUGUAAAAUAUUUUCUUCAUAGAUUGUGUCAAUUAUAAAAAAGGGCUUGAUCUGAUGAUGGGGAAUGUAUAGUUAUGGACAGGCCAGGAAAAUAACCACUUGCUUUCAGCUAUAAUGCUAUGUGAAAUAGUACCAUUAGACUGGGUAAAAAUCCUCAUCAUACUAACACAAAGGUAAGUGGUGCAUUGUCACUGUUUUAAAAUGAGUAAUUGAAAAUGUUAGUUCUGGAAAUGGAAACAGAUUUUAAGAAACCAAGAAAGAAGAGAUCCAUGUCCACAUAGGGGACAGAAGCAUUUUGUUUAUGUUCCACAAUUUCUCACUAAUAUCUAGUAAUUCUGCAAUCCUUAUCCAAGCAAAACUGCCACUGAAGUUAAAGGGAGUGUUGCUCAAGCAAGAAGGCAGAAUUUGGCUUCAUAUCCAUGCAGUCUACCUGGGACUGACCACAUCUACAAAAGGGCAGCUCACAAUGAGUGUUCGUCCCAGAGAUGAUCCUGCAGUUCUUAGCCAGUCCAAAUUCCACUGAGGGGCUGUGGUGUAAAAUGCACACACACCUUCUUCAGUGAAGAAACAAUGCCACCUCUGUCAAACUGGCAUGACCUCAGAGGUCAUUUCUUCAGCUGCUUGCUGUGAGUUUGUACCUGUCUGGGAUACUGGCACUACUGCAGCAUCCUUGAUUUCAGCGCUCUGAAUGCAGGAAGGGUUCUUCUCCAUUUUUUUGGCAGUGUCCGGGCAGUUUUGAACAAAGAUCACUCGAUUGUAAGCCUUCAGUCUGCGCCACAACUGAACGUAGACUUUGCACUGGACGUACAUGAAGACUAGGCCUCCAGUGAACCCAAUUGCUACCACAACCAGUUUUGUCCAAAAUGGCCAUUCAAGGACACCUUUCAAAGAAACAAGUUACAAUUAGUUUCAUCAUCAUUUCAUAAUGUCUUGCUGAUGGCUUGUCUCUUCUGUCGCCUGUAUAUUCCAGUAUUACAUAAAACUGCCAAAACAUUAUUCUUUUCAAAGGAUCCCUAAUGCUAUUUGUACUGUAUGUACACAGUCACACACAUGAAGUGCAGCUGUUGUUAUGGUAGAAGACAGCAGCUGUUCCCUAGAUCAUAGAAACAAGAUCAGAUCCCUAAACAUCUAGUACAAUAGGGGAUUUCUGGUUUAACAAGGAAUGCAGGAUCAGGUCUUAGGACAGAAAGAUAACUGUCCUUACUAGAAACAGAUGACAUUUUUAUGUCCCUUGAUUGUACCCAUGCCUAUAGUACCUCUUUUAAGUAGGCAGAAUGUAGUUAUCUAGACUGGAAUGGCCAGAUCACUGGGCUUUGGGCCCUACUACUGAAAUAAAUAAAUAAAUAAAAGCUUUUUAAAGUUUGAUGGCUGGUCUAUAAGGAGACUCAAGCUAGAGUAUGUACAGUAUACUGGUCUGCUACACAGUAAGGUGCUGCAUGGACCCUGCUACCAUGCACAAAGUUUCAUAAUGAGCAGUAGCAAGGUCCACAUGGCUACUUGGUGCACUGUAGUUUACACCCUAGUUUGCUGCAUGCUAUGGGUCUGUAAAUAUACCUGGCACACCCUAUUUUAUACCUCAUUGAACAGUGGCACCUACAAUACCAAUGUGUUCCCCUGGUAUGGGGCUGUAGCAUUGGUUCAGUAGCAAAUUAGUGGGAAGAAAUCCACCUUGUGAAUAAAACUGCACCGCAGCUUUUUUUUGUUCUUUAUGCCUCUCUCGUGUAUGCUUUUUCCUUCUGCUAAAUCAACACAUUGCUAUUUUCCUACUUAGUUAUAUAAGAACUUUACAGUUCCUGAUACUGUUUUUGCUCAUUGCACCCUUUGCUCUCAGUUUAAAAACCAGGAAAAAUUCUUGCAAGGUCUUACUGUAACUGUAGAAAAAAGUCUCCAUGGGUGAUGACACUAAGGGUACAGAACAGAGAAUCUGAACGCCGUAAUGAUAUGAGUAAUGCUAAGAUGAUUCACUUUAGCCUAGAACUAGUCUUAGAACUUUACAAAAUCAAUUAUUGCUAUACUGGGAACAGCUUUAUAAUCACAGGAUAAUUAACAACACUGCAGCUGCUUCUUCAUAUGUUUAGCAGUAUGACUAAAAUGGGGGAAAAACCCGCUGUGCAUUACUGCAUCAGAUCUAAUGAUGACAGUGUUGGCAUUAAUACAUAAUAUGCAAGUGUGUGGUUUUGAGAUUGCGUGUCAAUGCUGCUUUCUCGAUAUUUUACUUAAAAUAAAUUUAUUAGUCACAUAUGGAAGAUCUUUAAAAAUCCUUAGAACAUAUAGAGUGCAAAUCACAAUCGAGGUGCUUUAGAAACAGGAUAAUUAAACUUCAAAGCAAUGCGUGGGAGGCAUUAGAGAGAGGCACUCCAAGAUGGAUAUGGUGUCAGCUGGAGGAUUAGAAUCCACGGGUGGUCAUCUGCCAGGUUUAGCUGCAACCAGUCGAGCAGUAAUUUGAGUUUAAUUGUGUUGUUAAACAAUAAUAGAAUACCAUUUAUUUAAAUAUUUUGGGUAUUUUCUACAUUUUCAAAUAUAUUGAUUUCAAUUACAACACAGAAUACAGUGUACCAGUACUUACUUUAUAUUUAAUUAUAAAUAUUUGCACUGUAAAAAACAAAAGAAAUAGUAUUUUUUCAAAAAGAAAAGGAGUACUUGUGGCACCUUAGAGACUAACCAAUUUAUUUGAGCAUGAGCUUUCGUGAGCUACAGCUCACUUCAUCGGAUGCAUCAGCCAAUCGCUCAGACAAACAAAUUUGGUUACAAUUUGGAGGAGAUAAUGCUGCCUGCUUCUUGUUUACAAUGUCACCUGAAAGUGAGAACAGAUGUUCUCAUGGCACUGUUGUAGCCGGUGUUGCAAGAUAUUUACGUGCCAGAUGCACUAAAGAUGCAUAUGUCCAUUCAUGCUUCAACCACCAUUCCAGAGGACACCUUCCAUGCUGAUGACGUCUUCUGCUCAAUAACCAUCAAAAGCAGUACAGACCGACACCUGUUCAUUUUCAUCAUCUGAGUCAGAUACCACCAGCAGAAGGUUGAUUUUCUUUUUUGGUGGUUUGGAUUCUGUAGUUUCCGCAUAUGAGUGUUGCUCUUUUAAGACUUCCGAAAGCAUGCUCCACACCUCGUCCCUCUUAGAUUUUGGAAGGCACUUCAGAUUCUUAAACCUUGGGUCGAGUGCUGUAGCUAUUUUUAGAUAUCUCACAUUGGUACCUUCUUUGCCAAAUUGCAAUGCCACAGUGCCCAGCGAAUGCCUCUUCUCACUUUCAGGUGACAUUGUAAAUAAGAAGCAGGCAGCAGUAUCUCCCGUAAAUGUAAACAAACUUGUUCAGCCAAUCACUAAGACAAACAAGAAGUAGGACUGAGUGGACUUGUAGGCUCUAAAGUUUUACACUGAGUGCACUUAUGUAACAAAAAAAAUCCCAAACCUACAUUUGUAAGUUAUACUUCCACGCUAAAGAGAUUUCACUACAGUACUUGAAUGAGGUGAAUUGAAAAAUACUAUUUCUUUUGUUUAUCAUUUUUACAGUGCAAAUAUUUGUAAUAAAAAUAAUAUAAAGUGAGCACUAUACACUCUGUAUUCUGUGUUGUAAUAAAAAUAGUUGAAAAUGUAGAAAACCAUCCAAAAUAUUUUAAACACAAGAAAAGGAGUACUUGUGGCACCUUAGAGAUGAACAAAUUUAUUUGAGCAUAAGCUUUCGUGAGCUACAGCUCACUUCAUCGGAUGCAUUCAGUGGAAAAUACAGUGGGGAGAUUUAUAUACAUAGAGAACAUGAAACAAUGGGUGUUACCAUACACAUUGUAAUGAGAGUGAUCACUUAAGGUGAGCUAUUACCAGCAGGGGGUGGCAAGAGAGGGGAACCUUUUGUAGUGAUAAUCAAGGUGGGCCAUUUCCAGCAGUUGACAAGAACCUCUGAGGAACAGUGGGGGUCGGGGGGGGGCAGAAUAAACAAGGGGAAAUAGUUUUACUUUGUGUAAUGACCCAUCCACUCCCAGUCUCUAUUCAAGCCUAAGUUAAUUGUAUCCAGUCUACUCUGAAACCUGUCAAAAUAUUUAAUACAUUUCAAUUGGUAUUCUAUUGUUUAACAGUGCGAUUAAUUUUUGAGUUAAUUGCAUGAGUUAACUGCAAUUAAUCAACAGCCCUAGUUUAACCAUCUGUUUUUGCUGCUUAUGCAACUGGCUUGCCUUAGAAAAGUCUUUGUAAGUGAGAAAUCAUUGAAAUAAUCACUACAGAAUGGUGUUUAAUUACCACAGAUUUCCCUGUCAUGGAAACUGCUAGUAAGUGCUAACUUUUUCAGGGUGGCACUUUUGAAAGUCAAAGUGACUUUAGCACAUGUUCCAGUGAAAGUCAGUUGGACUCCUACUCUUAAGUGACAGGGAUGGUCUCCUUAUUAAGGAAAUGACAGCUACUCCACACACUGACUUAGGAGCUUCUGAAAAUCCUACCUACCAGUGAUCACUAUUGAGAUGUGGUGUUAGUUUUGAAAAAUUACACACCAGGCAAUAGCCUCAGCUGCAGUAAAUCACUGUAACUCUGCUGAAGGCAGUGGAGCUAUGCUGAUUUAUACGAGCUAGUUUGAUUAGAUAUUUCUGUCAUCUCACCAGACCCUGGAGUAAGUACGCCAAGAAGAAAUAGGGAAAAAUACUUUUAAUGAUUUCCCCCAUCUUCCCACUUUAUUGGGCUAGCGUGUAACUUUUUGGGUAGUAAAUCAGAGUUCUGAAUUUCAAUAUGAAAAAGAGUGGGCCUGCUGUUGCAUCACUGUAGGGGAUGGGAGCUUUGCAGUUGUCUGUAGUAAUCAAAUAAAUGCUACUAUGUGUGGAUCAAAUUCUGUUUUUGAAUGUGCUAAUCUAUUUCCUCAUUGACUUCACUGAGCGCCAAGGGGUGUAUCCAUAGCCAGGAUUUGCUCCCAUGUGUUACUAUUUCCUUAAUGAAUUCUUGUAACUAAAGGCAGCAUAGCAUUUGCAACUCUACUAAAGUAAAGUAGUAUACUAUACGCAUGUUGGCAAUAUCUGCUUAGUUCAGUAAUCCACUGUAGUCUGUUGUAAAACAAAUCAGCCUUGUAAAUCCAGUCCUGCAUUUAAAUGCCCUCUAGCACAACGAGGCCACAAUCCUGACUGGCAUACUACUAGUACUGAAAUAAUAACCAAAACUUUUGUUAAGGUUCUAAAUCAGGGGUAGUCAAUAGGUGGAGCACGGGCCAAAUCUGGACUGCCAUAUGCUUUUGAACAGACCCCCAAAUCUUUUUAUUUACUUAUUAUUUUCUCUGGAUCCUGGAGAUUGACUAUACCUUGAUGAAGAAAUGUGGACCUUAACAAAAAUAGACUACCCCUGUUCUAAACUGUUCCAGUAACUCCUCCCUCACUUUUCCCAGUCUUUGCUUGCCUGGAUUCCCACUAGAACUGAAAGUGCUGAAAUAUCACAAUAAAGGCUGCUGUUAGAGGAUGAAAUCCAGCUGUGUGUAGAGAAUGCAGGAAAGGACCUCUGUGACAUUUAAUUCCCACAUUAAGGGCUGCACAGGACUUUCUACACUAGGGUGAAUUUCAUGCAGCGUUUCCUGCUGGGUCUGGAAGUUUUAACUUGCUUGAAAUCUUCUAAGAAAGCCUUUUGCAAGAUUUCUACCCCAGUUUUGUAGAAGAGAGGUUUCAAUAGGUCAGAUGGGCAGCUUAAAUCUUUUGGAUGCUCUGAACUGAACUUGCACUGAACUUUUUAAGUUUCACUCAUCAAUUUUUAAAUAGUAGCUUUAAAAAAGUCCAGCUAUUGAAGUAAAAUGAAAAGAAUGAACUGAAUGGUUUAGUUGUUGUGAUGGGUGCAUUGAACUGUGAUCUCUUUGCACUGCAGGAAAGAAAAUAUAUUCAGCAAAAAACAGGUUUGUGAACUGAAUUGUGUGUCCUUUGCUUUGUCAUCAAACAAAUUCCCUAUAAUCCUGUUAUAUAUUUACAAAUAAAAAGUGCCUUGCAAUCUA